Molecule: unclassified non-coding RNA, 345 nt
Filed under: Hevea brasiliensis (rubber tree)
Lineage: Eukaryota; Viridiplantae; Streptophyta; Magnoliopsida; Malpighiales; Euphorbiaceae
Source: RNAcentral
GGGAAUUCUCUACUCCAGACAUACAAAAGCAUGAAAACCAGUGAUACACCCAAGAAUGGGGAACGGAAGAAGGGGAUUACAGAUAAAGCCAAUAAUGUCAGAGCUCCAAAUAUCAUCAUCCACAGAAAAUCUGCUGUUCGUCUUUGAAAAGGUCCACUCUCUAGUUGCACUCCAUAUCUCGCUAUCAUUAAGAGGCGAAUCCCAAAAUUAAUUGAGAACUUCCCAAGAAAGAAGAAAUUUGUAAUCAAUCUCCAUACCUGAAAACGAUAGAGUACUAGCUCAUAUAAUAAUGCAAUAUCAGCAGGGUGAUAAAAACCCAACUGAUAUGCAAUGGUAAACAGCAGA